This 257-nucleotide ribosomal RNA is filed under the name uncultured bacterium. RNAcentral's name for it is "partial 16S ribosomal RNA". It matches the Rfam family "Bacterial small subunit ribosomal RNA", at positions 103 to 354 of the family's 1533-position model. The record is from RNAcentral.
CGGGUGAGUACACGUGAGUGACCUGCCUUUUAGACUGGAACAACUUACCGAAAGGUGAGCUAAUGCCGGAUGAGUUAUAUAAGUGCAUGUUUAUAUAGGAAAAGUUGGGGAGACCUGACGCUGAAAGAUGGACUCGCGUCCCAUUAGCUAGUUGGUAGGGUAAUGGCCUACCAAGGCGACGAUGGGUAGCCGGCCUGAGAGGGUGGCCGGCCACACUGGGACUGAGACACGGCCCAGACUCCUACGGGAGGCAGCAG